RNAcentral lists this ribosomal RNA (603 nucleotides) under Triticum aestivum (bread wheat). Its description in RNAcentral is "partial small subunit ribosomal RNA". Lineage: Eukaryota; Viridiplantae; Streptophyta; Magnoliopsida; Poales; Poaceae. The record is from RNAcentral.
AUGCAAAACCCCAAGCUUGGGGAUGCUUGCUUUGCUAUGUCCACUACUUAUCGCAAUGAUCAUGAUUGGGGUGAUAAUGAUUCUUAUGAUCUUGAAAUUUUAUUUAAACUUCAUCAUGAAUAUGCUUGCGAUAAUAUUAAAAGUGGGUUUGGAAGAGUGUCAACUUUAGCUAAAAAUAAUCCCACAUAUUUGGAGAGUGUUCAAUCUUAUGAAAUUUUUGAUAAAAGUGGGUUUGGAGAGGUUAUGACUUUAGUUGAUGUUAAUCCCACUAUCUUGGAAGAUUAUAAAACUUUUAUGCAUGUGGAUCAUGAAGAGAAAAUUUUGUAUGAUAGCUAUAUUGUUGAAUUUGAUUAUGAUCCUACAUGUAACUAUUAUGAGAGAGGAAAAUAUGGUUGUAGAAAUUUUCAUGUUGCUAAUUUACCUCUCAUUAUGUUGAGAUUGCUAUUGUUUCUUUCUUCUUCCUUGCAUAUGCUAUAUAUUUCUUGUCUUGAUAAUUUGUUUGCCUACAAAAUGCCUAUGCAUAGGAAGUAUGUUAGACUUAAGUGUGUUUGCCACAGGUUUUAUGGUGCUCUCUUUGUGCUUCAAUUAUUGUCUUUCAUGUGA